This 475-nucleotide ribosomal RNA is filed under the name uncultured bacterium. RNAcentral describes it as "bacterial SSU rRNA". It matches the Rfam family "Bacterial small subunit ribosomal RNA", at positions 365 to 832 of the family's 1533-position model. The record is from RNAcentral.
UUCGCAAUGCCCGAAAGGGUGACGACGCGACGCCGCGCGGGUGAUGAAGGCCUUCGGGUUGUAAAGCCCUGUCACCUGGGAAGAAUGGCGGGAGGUGAAUAGCCAUCUCGUCUGACGCUACCAGGGGAGGAAGCACCGGCUAAAUACGUGCCAGCAGCCGCGGUAAUACGUAUGGUGCGAAUGUUGUUCGGAAUCACUGGGCAUAAAGAGCACGUAGGCGGUUGAGCAAGUCCAUUGUGAAAUCCCCCGGCUUAACCGGGGAACUGCAGUGGAUACUACUUGACUUGAGUGCAGAAGGGGAGAGUGGAAUUCCUGGUGGAGCGGUGAAAUGCGUAGAUAUCAGGAGGAACGCCGGUGGCGAAAGCGACUCUCUGGUCUGUUACUGACGCUGAGGUGCGAAAGCUAGGGGAGCAAACGGGAUUAGAUACCCCGGUAGUCCUAGCCCUAAACGAUGGGCACUAAGUAGAGGGGUUUU